RNAcentral lists this small nuclear RNA (151 nucleotides) under Neodiprion lecontei (redheaded pine sawfly). Its description in RNAcentral is "U1 spliceosomal RNA". It matches the Rfam family "U1 spliceosomal RNA". Rfam says of the family: U1 is a small nuclear RNA (snRNA) component of the spliceosome (involved in pre-mRNA splicing). Its 5' end forms complementary base pairs with the 5' splice junction, thus defining the 5' donor site of an intron. There are significant differences in sequence and secondary structure between metazoan and yeast U1 snRNAs, the latter being much longer (568 nucleotides as compared to 164 nucleotides in human). Lineage: Eukaryota; Metazoa; Arthropoda; Insecta; Hymenoptera; Diprionidae. The record is from Rfam by way of RNAcentral.
AUACUAACCUGGCGUAGGGGAUACCAUGAUCAAUAUGGUGGUUCCCCCGGGAGUGAGGCAUGACUGCUGAACCCUGUAAAUAUCCCUAACGUGGGUAUUUGUGCGUUUAAUUUUUGGUAGUGCGGGGCUCUUGCGGUCGCGCAGUCCCCGC